Molecule: transfer RNA, 107 nt
Filed under: Pseudozyma flocculosa
Lineage: Eukaryota; Fungi; Basidiomycota; Ustilaginomycetes; Ustilaginales; Ustilaginaceae
Description: Anthracocystis flocculosa transfer RNA-SeC(TCA)
Rfam family: tRNA
About the family: Transfer RNA (tRNA) molecules are approximately 80 nucleotides in length. Their secondary structure includes four short double-helical elements and three loops (D, anti-codon, and T loops).
Source: RNAcentral
GGCCGAAUGCCCGAGUGGUUAUGGGGCUGGCUUCAAGAAUCACCCGCGUCUUGGCCGCGUUGCAGGCUUCCUCCAGUUUGUCCUGGGUUCGAGUCCCAGUUCGGUCA